CGAACCGAGCGAACGUUGUUCGGAAUCACUGGGCUUAAAGGGUGCGUAGGCGGGCUGCCAAGUUUGGGGUGAAAUCCUCCGGCUCAACCGGGGAAGUGCCUCGAAUACUGGCGGUCUGGAGGGAGGUAGGGGCGUGCGGAACUAACGGUGGAGCGGUGAAAUGCGUUGAUAUCGUUAGGAACUCCGGUGGCGAAGGCGGCACGCUAGACCUCUUCUGACGCUGAGGCACGAAAGCCAGGGGAGCGAACGGGAUUAGAUACCCCGGUAGUCCUGGCCCUAAACGUUGAGAACUAGGUAGCAGGCCGGACAUGGGUUUGCUGCCGGAGCAAAAGUGCUAAGUUCUCCGCCUGGGGAGUAUGGUCGCAAGGCUG
RNAcentral lists this ribosomal RNA (371 nucleotides) under uncultured organism. RNAcentral's name for it is "bacterial SSU rRNA". It matches the Rfam family "Bacterial small subunit ribosomal RNA", at positions 526 to 896 of the family's 1533-position model. The record is from RNAcentral.